UCCAGCUCCUUCUGGACUAAAGAAAGAAUUUACAACACUUCCAAAGAAUAUGACUUUUAUCAUUAUGUGGAUGGCUCCAAAAAGCAGGGAAAAAUUCCAGCCUGGAGAAGAGCAGGGGAAACAGCACCAAGAACUAACCCGGCAAGUCAGCACUCAAUAAGAGGCAUCUUUUGACUACCCCCACCUCAUACCUCAUACCUUAGAGAAGUCCAGCCUUUUCAAAUGAUUCCACCAGCUGACUGGACCAGAGGUGGACACCAUCCCAAACUGGAUCAGAUUCUCUACCCCAGAAAUUAGAUUUAGAGUGCUCUCAGACUCUAGUUGUCAAUGUACUAAAGACACAUACCUUGGGGAACCAAGGGUAAGCUCUCUUCUGCCAAAUGCAUGGGGAUGUGUUGAAAAAGGAAAAAAUCUUUGUGCAGAGACGAAAGGUGCAAGUUGAUUUCGUAAAUGUCAAGAGAGAAGGAGGUAGGUAGGCUGGACUAUUUUCUAGUUCCUGGUUACAACCAUACUUGAAGGCUUUAACUGCACUUCCUAUCCCUGAAGUACCAUAAGAAAGAGCCUUGAAUCUUAAUCACAAAUUCCAUUUCUACAGUCAUUUUCUAUGAGACAGUGCAUGAAACACUCCAGCACCUUACACUACCUUUCAAUUAGCUAGCUCCAAGUUGUUCUUCAGGUCCCAACUUAAACACCACUUCUUCCAGGAAAUCUUCCCAGACAAUUCAAAACAUUUUAGCUCCGCCUUUUAUACUCCCCGGUGGCACUGUGCACCUCAUCAUACUCGGUAAGUGUUAUUCCUUUCCUGUGGGACUAUAAACACCACAGAGUAAAACCACCUCUUCUGUUCAACACUCUGAUCCUAUUGCCUAGCACAUUGGCCAGGUACACACUUAAUAACAUCAUGAAGUGAAUGGAAAUCAAGAAACUGGUAGACGUAGGCAGAAAGGGUGAGAAGAAAUCAACACUAACCUCCUGAUAAAAAGUUUGACCCUACCUCCCUCAUCCUUUCCAAGUAUCCAGUUUUUCCCUUUUCUACCUCCCUACAGCCCCAAGUUAGCUCUGACAAUUACCAUUUUAUACUUUGGUGCCAAUGCAUUCAGGAACCAGGGCUGUAGGAAGUAUGUUUCCAGAUAGCUUGGUAUAACAGAGUAAAACCUAUCAAAAAAAAAAAAAAAA
Long non-coding RNA from Felis catus (domestic cat), 1176 nucleotides. RefSeq lists it as uncharacterized. The transcript has 2 exons. The record is from RefSeq and is a predicted model, not a curated record. Lineage: Eukaryota; Metazoa; Chordata; Mammalia; Carnivora; Felidae.